AGUGAACGCUGGCGGUAGGCCUAACACAUGCAAGUCGAACGGCAGCACAGUAAGAGCUUGCUCUUACGGGUGGCGAGUGGCGGACGGGUGAGGAAUACAUCGGAAUCUACUUUUUCGUGGGGGAUAACGUAGGGAAACUUACGCUAAUACCGCAUACGACCUACGGGUGAAAGCAGGGGAUCUUCGGACCUUGCGCGAUUGAAUGAGCCGAUGUCGGAUUAGCUAGUUGGCGGGGUAAAGGCCCACCAAGGCGACGAUCCGUAGCUGGUCUGAAAGGAUGAUCAGCCACACUGGAACUGAGACACGGUCCAGACUCCUACGGGAGGAAGCAGUGGGGAAUAUUGGACAAUGGGCGCAAGCCUGAUCCAGCCAUACCGCGUGGGUGAAGAAGGCCUUAGGGUUGUAAAGCCCUUUUGUUGGGAAAGAAAAGCAGCAGGUUAAUACCCCGCUGUUCUGACGGUACCCAAAGAAUAAGCACCGGCUAACUUCGUG
Molecule: ribosomal RNA, 492 nt
Filed under: uncultured bacterium
Lineage: Bacteria
Description: partial 16S ribosomal RNA
Rfam family: Bacterial small subunit ribosomal RNA
Source: RNAcentral